GUGCCAAAGUGGUAUAUUUACCUUUCGGCAAAUAAAAUUUGUGUGAUGAUUAAAGUUAGAGCUUUUACCUAAAAAGAAAAAAAAAUCCAUACGUUUGCAAGUCCUCUCAAACUGUAGUUGUUUCCUACUUUAAGCUCCACUCUAGCCAAAGAGUCAACUUCUAAUUUUUAUUGGUUUUAAGAUUUGUCAUUCAUAUCAUGGCAUCUUGCAAGUUGUAUAAAUCUGAUGCAACAAGAUUCUAUGCACUAAAAUAUUUGGAAAGAAUUGGGUUGUGAUGUGAAUACCGCCUGAAAUUUAAUAUUUGACAAGUUUUGACAAAAAUAUUUGUAUCA
This 332-nucleotide unclassified non-coding RNA is filed under the name Hevea brasiliensis (rubber tree). The record is from RNAcentral. Lineage: Eukaryota; Viridiplantae; Streptophyta; Magnoliopsida; Malpighiales; Euphorbiaceae.